GUCCUAGCCGUAAACGAUGGACACUGAGUGAAGGAGGGCUUGCCCUUCUUUGCUGCAGCUAACGCGUUAAGUGUCCCGCCUGGGGAGUACGGCCGCAAGGUUAAAACUCAAAGGAAUUGACGGGGGCUCGCACAAGCGGUGGAGCAUGUGGUUCAAUUCGAUGCAACGCGAAGAACCUUACCCGGGCUUGAAGUGGAGGUUGUAGAAACCGGAAACGGUAACGACCCCGCAAGGGGAGCCUUCAUCAGGUGUUGCAUGGCUGUCGU
This 266-nucleotide ribosomal RNA is filed under the name uncultured bacterium. RNAcentral describes it as "partial 16S ribosomal RNA". It matches the Rfam family "Bacterial small subunit ribosomal RNA", at positions 793 to 1055 of the family's 1533-position model. The record is from RNAcentral.